RNAcentral lists this long non-coding RNA (454 nucleotides) under Homo sapiens (human). RNAcentral describes it as "non-protein coding lnc-ATP23-89:2". The record is from RNAcentral. Lineage: Eukaryota; Metazoa; Chordata; Mammalia; Primates; Hominidae.
CCCAGAAGGUGGCUCUGAGCAAGUCUUCACAUUUGCCAUUUGAUUAAUUAAAGAUAAAUGGCGGAGACUUUUCCCUAAAUGGGUUACUUGAUUUAAGAGCUGCUGGCUAAUUUUGGUCGGAUAAUUUAAUAGAAGAGGGAAGAGGAAAGGAAAGAAAGGGGCUUGAAGAAAGAGGAAGAGAAAAGAAACACAAGGAUGGAGAACAAGGAGAGACCAUUUGUUCUCAAACAGUAGCUGCCACUUCUAGCUGGGAGAGAAAUGAGAGCUCUGCUCAUGGUGAUCCAGUAUCUCCAGAAUCCAUCACCACUGCUGACCUCCCACUCCAUGUCUCCAAGUGCUCUGCUAUACCUGCCACCAGCAGCUGCCACCUCCAGACUUUGGAAGGUUAUAAUAAAACCUCUGUUCUACGAUCUGCCUUCUGCUUCAACAUCCUCACUCCCCACAAACAAUUCUA